UACAGAGGUGGCAAGCGUUGUUCGGAAUUACUGGGCGUAAAGGGCGCGUAGGCGGCUUGGUCAGUCCCGUGUGAAAUCCCUCGGCUCAACUGAGGAACUGCACGGGAAACUGCCUGGCUUGAGUUCGGGAGAGGGAAGCGGAAUUCCGGGUGUAGCGGUGAAAUGCGUAGAGAUCGGGAGGAAGGCCGGUGGCGAAGGCGGCGCUCUGGAACGUACCUGACGCUGAGACACGAAAGCGUGGGGAGCAAACAGG
This 253-nucleotide ribosomal RNA is filed under the name uncultured bacterium. Its description in RNAcentral is "partial 16S ribosomal RNA". It matches the Rfam family "Bacterial small subunit ribosomal RNA", at positions 524 to 776 of the family's 1533-position model. The record is from RNAcentral.